GCGAUCUUCUGGGGCGUGGACAGCCCGUCCUCGCUCCCCGCGAGGCUCAGAACGGGCAGGUCGCUUCCGGAGAGGUCGUUC
RNAcentral lists this transfer RNA (81 nucleotides) under Microbacterium oxydans. RNAcentral describes it as "tRNA-Gly". The record is from RNAcentral. Lineage: Bacteria; Bacillati; Actinomycetota; Actinomycetes; Micrococcales; Microbacteriaceae.